Long non-coding RNA from Pristis pectinata (smalltooth sawfish), 657 nucleotides. RefSeq lists it as uncharacterized. Lineage: Eukaryota; Metazoa; Chordata; Chondrichthyes; Rhinopristiformes; Pristidae. The transcript is spliced from 3 exons. The record is from RefSeq and is a predicted model, not a curated record.
CCAGUAUCCCGUCGGCCCCUCGGCGUCGGACCUCCCACGGGUAUCCUCCAGUAUCCCGUCGGCCCCCGGAGGUGGGCGCCUUCACACCGGAGCGGGAGGAUCCGUCGGCGACGGUCGUGGGGGGAAUAAGGGGAACCCGGGCUGACAGAGGGACUUCAGUCGGGAACGUAGCCCCCAGGUUGAUGGAAAAAACUGGCAUCAACUGUAUGGAGCCUGAGAGAACAUGCGUCCUCAAGAUCAGAAUAAACAACAUUAUUUUACUUCUCAUGCAACCAAAGUAUGUCACAGAGGGAGGUGAUGUGGCUACAUCUUCCUGGUUCUCAGGUUAACAGUCACUCACCAAAGUACACCACUGUGUGUCCAAUUAAACAGUAUUGGAGAAUAUGAACGGUAGUCAUACAAUGAAGGUAGAAGAUACAGGAGCCUGAGGGCACGUACCACCAGGCUUAAGGACAGCUUCUCCCCCACUGUGAUAAGACUACUGAACAAUGAGAUGGACUCUGACCUCACGAUCUACCUUGUUGUGACCUUGCACCUUAUUGCACUGCACUUUCUCUGUAGCUGUGACACUUUACUCUGUACUGUUAUUGUUUUUACCUGUACUACAUCAAUGCACUCUGUACUGACCCAAUGUAACUGUACUGUGUAAUAAAUUGA